CGGAGACGUUCCUCCUGGCUGGCAAGAGAUCACGACGGAUUGUCUGAACAGCAAUAGCAAGGAAUGUGAAGCAGGCAUAACGCACUGUGAAAAAACAACGGUAUUCUUUACUAACCCGGACAAGUAUCAGAUUGAUCAACAGGCAUGUGGGGAGCAGCAAUAUAACAAUUGCCACAAAGCAAUAUAACAAUUGCCUAUUUUAAGACUGGGGUAAAAAUAGCCACUUCGAUAACAAUUAUCACAGGUGGUGCGAACCCUGGGAAGUUCGAAACGGUGGUGUUGGUACAAAAUGCCGCUGUUCCAAGGAUCUUUGCAAUGUCUUUCCAAAAAACGCAUCAACCGUUAGCAGUUCCCAAACCAAUAAUCAAACGAAUAACCAAACCCAAGGCAAUAACAC
Long non-coding RNA from Paramacrobiotus metropolitanus, 397 nucleotides. RefSeq lists it as uncharacterized. The transcript is spliced from 3 exons. The record is from RefSeq and is a predicted model, not a curated record. NCBI's taxonomy places the organism in Eukaryota, Metazoa, Tardigrada, Eutardigrada, Parachela, Macrobiotidae.